Molecule: long non-coding RNA, 20290 nt
Filed under: Homo sapiens (human)
Lineage: Eukaryota; Metazoa; Chordata; Mammalia; Primates; Hominidae
Description: non-protein coding MRPL23-AS1:10
Source: RNAcentral
CUCACUCCCCAGGCCCACACACUAGCCCACUGUUCAGGGUCCGGGGUGGCAGCAUGGCCUGGGGGUCCUGGCACCGCUGCUCCUCUGCCCACCCUAACUUCCCGGCAUGGCGGCUGCCCCCUCUGAGCGUCCCCAACCAAACUGCAGGGGAUAUGAAGCAAGCUGGACUUGGGGAGACAUCUCUGCUCGAGUGCACGUUGGCCUGAUGACGACUGCUCUUGGGUUCACGGGUUCCAGGCUCUGCCCGGGAGCCUCAUGCAAACUGGUCCCGUUCUACAGACGAGGAAACUGAGGCACAGAGUGAUUACGGCUGUCCCUGAGCUCCUGCAGCCAGUAAGGUGAUACACCAGGAUGUGUUCCCAGGUUGUCCGCUGGGCUCAGUAACACAGUCUCAACUGCCCUGUGACACUGCGUGUCUGUGCUUGUGGGGAAGGUGACCAGAGGCCCCCUUUCCUCCACGCGGUGAGCCUACCAGCAAGGAGACAGUCCUCAGGUGUGAGGAUGAGCCUCGUAGUAGGCACAGAGAAACAGGAGGAACCUUCUGGAAGGUGAAGCCUCCCACGGCUGGGACUCUUGGAGAAGGGCGGAUCUCUGUCCACUCCUGCCCACUCCCCAGCACAGACAGAGCAAGCAGGACAGAGGGCCCAACGUCCCAGGAUACUGCAGAGCUCAAAGGAGGGCAGAGAGCAUCGCCCCACAUGGGCGCCGGGAGAAAGGUGGGCGGGGUGCUCAGGGGCCCCUGGCCGUCCUGAAGUUUGCCUCAGAGAGGUGUGGGCUUCUCCUCCCUCCCAUACACAGUGUCUCUGAGGAUGAACUGCCAUGUGCCCGGCGGGGAUGCCGUCCCUGGCCCUUGCUGAGUGCCUCUGGGACGAGGUCAGCUGAGCCUGCCAUCCUAACUCAGACACCAUCUCACUCUCCAAGUCCCUUCUCGGUGAGACGGGGGGCCUUGCACCCACCUCCCAGCCCCCACACACCUGAGGGGGUCCCCGUUCCCCUACCCCGUGGCUCCACCACGCCCCACGCAUCCUACCUGAGGGACAGAGGGGACUGUGAGAUGCCCCCCACAGGCUGGUUUUCCUCUUUCACCCAUAACAGGCCCAGCAAAUUCUCACCUCCAGAGGCCAGGUCUGCCCCGCAGGUCUUAGGAAAUACAGCCCUACUUCCAUCCAGCACACCAACCCAAGGAAGUGCCUCGGAGCCCUGGGGCCCGAGGGGGGCCUGGCCUUGGUCUCACGGCGGCAGCUCCACCUGGAGAGGAGUGAACUCAAGCCAGGACGCCCCGUCUCCACAGCGGAAACCGUGUUGCCGGCUGCUCCCUCCUGGGGACUCUGGGCCUGAGGUUCCUGUGGGAGUUGGGGGGAUAGCUGAGUCCUAUGGAGGUGCCCCUCUCCUCCCCGCCCAGUGGAGCUUGGGGUGGGGACAGGCGAAGACAGGGUGAGAAGCACGGGGCAUUCCCCCUCCACACAGCGCUGAGAAAGUAAGGGAGCAUCCAGAAAACGGUGCCCACUUCCGCGUCAGGCGGAUAUCACGGGCACCAGCUCCAGGUGACCCUAGCCCAGCCAGAGAACAAGGACCAGGUUGUGCCGCAAAGCCCGUGUCCGCUCCCUCCCGCCUGGGACCACUGUGGCGAGGGGAAGGGAGCGUGGUGGCCCUCUCCUGACUCCUGAGGCCUGAAGUCCAAGCUCCCGGCCCUCAGGCAGGCCAGGGUCUAGACACCGCUGCCCCAAACACACCCCCCAGUCCCCGCCCGCAGGCUUCCUGCAGGAUCCCCCAGUGCACCUGGGGGCUGAGGAGAGUGAGCAGGGCGCAAAGAAGCUUCGUCGGGAGGGCGGUCCCCACCCGCCUUGGACCCCCGGGGAUAGUGUCCUGGGGCCUGGGCUCAGAUGCACCCUGGGAGGAAUGGUGCGGAGGCUGUUUUUUGCUCCAAGAGGACAUUGCCUCAGCAGAGGGCUGCCGAGCUGGGAGGACCCACAGUGCAAGGCCGCAGAACCCCCUAGGAAGCCUCAGAGCCUUCAGGUUCCGGGCUGAGGCUGUGGGCGUGGACCCUUGUGCAAACCCCACUGGAAGAAAAACCUUACAGCUCAGGAGGAGGAGGGGCCCCACCCGCUCCCAGAGCCCGUAAACGAGGGGUGGUGCCCACAUGAGGCCUGGGGAAGGGCUGGGGCUGGGACACCCCCUCACCACCCCCAGAUACCCCAGGCAGCCCCUCCCUCCACAGAGAGACCCACUGGGCCUGACCCUGCCCUGGGCACAGGGUCGAGCCAGGGACGGCCCGUGGGAGAAAGACGGCUUCAUGGGCCGCUGGCCGGGCCAGGUGCGUCCUUCCCCAGUUCUAGGUGGCAAAUGGGGUGGGGCCAGAGCCUUCUGGCUAGGGAAGACACUGGCCUGGUUGGUGUGGCAGGGGCAGCGAAGGAGGGUCAAAGGCCACUCUGGCCUGGAAGAGUCCCCAGCCACCUGGACGGGGGUAGCCAGGCCUGGUCCCUGCCCCCACUCUCCAAGGGGUCGGGGCAGCCGGGCAGAGCCAGUAAGUGUUUGUUUUCAGAUGACAUUUGUAAAGAAAAACAGCCUCCCACACUGCUUGACCCUGUGUCUGGAAUGUGGGGAGGCAAACAGCUGUGCCCUUCCCAGACCCUGCACAGCCCCUGGUGGGGGCAGGGCCCUGGUGGGAGCAGGGCCCAGAGGUACAGCCUGGGGAGGCACCGGCCAUUGUGGUUGGAGCGCGGCAGCCAGGCUCUGGGCUCUGUUCCGGGCCUCACUGUGUCCCCAGUGGGGUGCCGCCACCACCCCCCCAGCCUGGGCCCCGCCGGUCAGACACCCGCAGGGACAGCUUGUCUUGGCUAGCUGGCUACAGCACCUCGCUGGAGUCCAGCAGACACGCGCUCCCGUGCGCACGCUGCGCCCCAGGCCAGCCCUAACGCCGCUGCUCGGGUCAGGCCCCCCGCCUGCCGUGGGCUGCUGGCUGCCUUGGCCCGCCCCAGCUCUCUCCGCGCCCCUGCCUCCAGGGAGCCCUCCUCGAGGACUCCAGCCACCCAAGCUCAGCAGGGCCAGCCCGAGCCCCUGCCCCACACAGCCUGUGUGGAGGGUCCUCAGCCCCCUGAUCCCCCAGACCCUCCCGGCAGAGGCUGGGUCCCUGGGGCUUGGGGAAAGCCGGCUCCAUGGCCCCUGGCCUGGAUGAUUUCCCAGAGGCCGGUCCCCUGCCAAGUGCCUGGUGACCCUUGUUCCUACCUGGCUGCCCAUGGUCCUUUGUGCGACCCCCGCCCACAGCCCAGGAGCUGGGCAGGAGACUCUGAUUGGGUGGCAGCAGAGCCAUCCUAGGGCUGCCCCUGACCCUGGCCCUGACCCUGCCCUGGAGCCUCGUUUCCAAAUCUUGCCUCAUGCUUUCGCCAGACCCCUGUGGCCCCUUCCCGACCCUGGAGUGCCCCUGGGGCUUCCUGGAAAGGGCCUCUCCUUUGCUCACAGUUGGGUGCCGAACUUCACCAGCAUUGACCACCCGAAGGCGCAGGGACACCCCCGCAGUCCCUCUCCUGGGGGUCCCAUCACCAACUCCCCAUGGGCGGGAUAUCAGAAGAAUUCUCUGCGCAGGUGCUCCGCCCCUUCAGGCCCAGCACUUCCAGGGCUGCCCGAGCUGAGGACCUGUGCAGAGAACUCUUCUACACCCCACAGAGGAGGCUGAGGGGUCGAGGCGGCUGCGGGAGCCCCAGGGGGCCACCACACAGCCAUGCCUGCCCCUCUCCUCGGUGGGUGUAGAAAGCUCUUAAAUGGUGGAAAAACAAGGGCAUGGCCACAUUGCACAGGCACAGAAGGUUCCAGAAGGAGUGAAACAAUGGCAUGGAGGGAGCAGAGCCUGGGCCGGUGGGGGCACAGGGAUGAGGCCAGUGAAGGCCACGGGUUGGGGGGUGCCCUGAAGCCAACGACCCCAUCCUUAUCGCCUGUGUCUCUCUGCACACAGCGUCUCGUCUGCAAAGUUAGCUGAGCAAACGCCAGGAGCCAAGGGUCGAGGCAACGAUAUCCGUGGGGCCACUCCACACCCCCUCUGCCUGCCCCAUCAAGACCUGCUUUCCUGGUUGAAAUCCAACUCACGAUUUGCCCCCGGGGGCCCAGCAGCCCUACCCAAUGGAGCAGCUGCACCCACAUUGCCCAGCUUCCCAGGCGGACAGGGGCUUGGUGAGCCUUCCUGUCCCCACUGGAGCAUGGCCGGAGUGAUUUUCUGCUUCUGCUGCAGAUCACCCUGGUGGGAGCAGCUGUAAUCGCAUUAUCCCCAGUUAUGCCUCCACUGGGCACUGGGGUAGGGACAGGACUGCCAGGACACGAUUCCAUUUACCUAACGCCAGUGGAGCCCUGGGGGCUCUCCUAGGUCCACGGGGAGGGGUGGCCAUCUCUCUAGGCCCAGGGACCCCAGGACAGGGGUAGAAAACCACGGGAGAGUUAAGGAGUUAAGGCCAGAAGGGGCCAGUCCGGCCAAGUGGGGCAAAGCUGUCCACCGUUGGGCAGGGCAUGACUGAGGGGCGGUGUGGGGAACAGCUGCUCAUCUCCCCCAGGCCCAUGCCCGUGAUGAACUGUGUGACUACCCCCAGGAUCAGUCAGGAAGCUUGGCCCAGGAGCCUGUGCAGACCUAACAGCCAGCUCCAGCCCCGAGGCAGGGCAGCUGUGCUCCAGAGGGCUCCCGGGGCCGCACUGUCCCUCCCAGGUGGACACCCUCGUGGCACGUACGCCCCUGCUCUCAGCCCUCUCCUUCACUGGAUGGAGAGACUCGGGACCCGCAGAGGUGGGUGGCGGGCAGAGGAGGUGGAGCUGGUCUGAGACGCAAGACGUGGCCUGUGGAUUCUAGGAGCAACUGGUGGCUUCCAAGGUCCCCCACCCACUCCACACAUGUUCCCAAACCCCGUUUUGCAGAUGAGGAUGGCAGGCUCAGCACAGGGGCCCAUGUCUCUGUCACCAGGCAAGGUGGGGGGGCUCUAGGGCCAGAAUCGCUCCCACCUCCAGCCGGGGAUCAGAGGUCUCUGGUUAGCAGCCGAGGCGAGCGGGACACAGGCUGAGGGAUGGGGACAGCUGCUCGCCCGGCACAGACAAGGCUCCCCUCCCCAUGCUGGAGACCCCGGCUGCCCCAUCAGUCACGGCCCACCCAGGACCAUGCAAUCAUCCUCCACUUCUCCUAAUCCUCCUGCCAGCUUCUUCCCAAGAGUCCAAGCAGUUGGAUGCAUUUUCUAAAUUCUCAGGCCACUGCUGUUUCCUCCUCAAAUUCCUUGUCCCCCACCCGUGGCCCCCUCCCAGCCAUGGGAAAGGACUGCUGCGGCCUCCCCACAGGCCUGUGCACGGGUGGGGCUGCGUCCAGGCAGCUGUGAGGUACCGGGGACCCAGGGGUAAGAGCCCCGAUUACAGGGGCGUCAUGGGAAAGUGGCGAGGGGAGGCCACCCAGGGCCCCCACCACAGCCCCGCUCCACAUCCUCCCCUGAUCUCUGGCCCUGGAAAGAAUCAGAUGGGACCCCCAGCAGCAGUCACUUGAGUCCCACUGCCACCGGCUGUGCUGAGGAUGCCCACUGGGCCGUGCUGUGGCCACCUGGCUUGCAGUGUGGGCACCAAGGUAUCGGCCCAGAUUCCUACCCAUCAGAGCACCAGCACAGGGCCGAGCCAGUGCCACAGAGCCCCUGGGCUGCAGCACGUCCUGCACGUCCCACAGACCGGCCUGCCGGGAGGGAGGGGUGCUGCCCAGGGCUCGGUGCCCUCCCGGAAGGGGCUUCAGUGGGGCUGUUUGCCAGGUGGUGGCUCUGACGCAGGAGAGGACAGAUGGGCAGAGCCCGAGGGCAGCCCUGGCCAGGUGCGUACAGUGGUGGCUGUGACGCCCUCUCCCACGCCUGUCUCUGGGUCCAGGAGGAGUGAUGAUCUCCAGGCUCCAGAGGACUAGGAACAGCAGGCAGGCUCGCUGCUGAUAACGGGGACUUCUCCACCUGGUGGGGAGUGAUGAGGCAAGACCGGAUGGCAGGCCCCAGGCCUCUCCUCUCCAGGGACAGCCAUCAUCUCCUCGCCUGUGCAGGUCUCAAUCAGUCAGUGAUUACGCAACCAGCAACCAGCACUUUAUUGCCGGUUGUGAAGAUCUGGAGGACAUGCGGGUCCCCGGGGCCACAGCCUUCCCGCAUGGGUCACCUGGGGUGUCUACAGUCAAGGCCAGUCUGACAGGUGGGAUGGUGCUUCCCAGCAACCCCACCCUGAGGAGAACCCUGCUGCCUCUCCCUGCUCUCCACCCCCAGCACAGGCCCCGGGAAGCCUCCAGCUGAUGACGACACCAGGACGGUGCUGAGUGGACCCUGGGGCCAGCAUCACAAGGCACCCAGGACCCCAGACCACCCAGCCACACCCCAGGCUACGAGGAGGGGGCGCUCCGGCGAGGCUGGGGUGCCUUCAAGGUGCAUCCUAGCAACAUCCUCCACCUGCAGGAGGGACACUCGGUCACAGCUUGGGGAGGAUGUGCUCAGACGGCAUAGGAAGGAUUUGCUCAGACCCCAUGGGGAGGAUUUGCUCAGACCCCGUGGGGAGGACUUGCUCAGACCCCAUGGGGAGGACUUGCUCAGAACCCAUGGGGAGGACAUGCUCAGACCCCGUGGGGAGGACAUAGACCCCGUGGGGAGGACUUGCUCAGACCCCGUGGGGAGGACAUGCUCAGACCCCAUGGGGAGGACUUGCUCAGACCCCGUGGAGAGGACAUGCUCAGACCCCGUGGGGAGGACAUGAUCAGACCCCGUGGGGAGGACUUGCUCAGACCCCGUGGGGAGGACAUGCUCAGACCCCGUGGGGAGGACUUGCUCAGACCCCGUGGGGAGGACUUGCUCAGACCCUGUGGGGAGGACAUGCUCAGAACCCAUGGGGAGGACUUGCUCAGACGGCAUAGGAAGGAUUUGCUCAGACCCCAUGGGGAGGAUUUGCUCAGACCCCGUGGGGAGGAUUUGCUCAGACCCCGUGGGGAGGACAUGCUCAGACCCCGUGGGGAGGAUUUGCUCAGGCCCCAUGGGGAGGACUUGCUCAGACCCCGUGGGGAGGAUUUGCUCAGACCCCGUGGGGAGGACAUGCUCAGACCCCGUGGGGAGGAUUUGCUCAGACCCCGUGGGGAGGACUUGCUCAGACCCCGUGGGGAGGAUUUGCUCAGACCCCAGGCAGGCAUCAUGAAUGCGCCCAGCCCGGACCCCAGACUGGUAGCUCCUACCACACGCGGAGCAGCAGAGGCUGGCAAGAGGGACUCAGGACUUGGGCUGGGGACAGAGGGCCCUGCACAGCUCUGGGGUCCUGACCCAAUCCUGCAUUUCCAUAGAGAGCUGCCUGGGCACCCAUGCUGAGGGUCCCUGCACCCCCUGGUGUAUCGGAGACCCUUCCCCCACCCCCUAUCCCCCGCCACUGAGACACAGGAAUGUACAGGAUGGCUGUGAGGGCAGAGGCAGGCCCAGGGCGCAGCAGGCAGGGCUGGGCGGGGCUGGGGAUCUGCAGGAGGUUGGCCCUGGAGAUGGGACAUGUCUGGACCCUCGGUGUCAUCACCUCUAUGUUUUGACCACUGAGCAAAAUUACACUAAAUGAAGCACAAAUUAGCCAAGGGGACAGUCGACUCUGUCCUUUCUUCUUAAUCCCUCUGGCUCAGGGUUUCCCAGCCUGGACAGCCUGUCCGAGGGGAAGGCUGCCCAAGGGCACACGGGCAUCGGUCCGGGGACAUUCAGGCAGUGACCAAUCCCUGGCCACCCUGGUGUGUGCCCGGCAAUGUGGGCCUUUUCCCAGACAGCCAGUGGGGGAGCGGCUGCUGUGGGUCCCUGAGUCUUAGCCAGAUGGUCAAGGAUAGGACAAUGAUGGAGACCCGCAUGCGGCCGCAUCCAUGGGUAAAGGAGGCGGAACGGAGGACAGCUCUGCCAUCCCCUCAGCCAGCCAUGAAAAGCAACCCUUUCCCCUAAGGCCCCAGCACCACCUUGGAGGCCACCAUGGGCUGGAGCCCAGCACAGCCACCAUCGCAUCUUGGCUGUCCAGCUCAGGACGGCCAGUUCCAAGGCGUCCAGGCUGGAGCUCUGGGGGCGGAAGAGCACAAGCUCCUGAAGAGCCUCUGGUCCAGCCCUGGCAGCGGAGGGCCAGGUGAGAGCCUGUUGAGGGCUCUGAGGACUCCAGGAGGGACUGGCUGAGGACACCGGUGGGGGUAAUACCUCCCCCUCCAAUGGCCGCUCGCAGGAGGCAAUUCCCAGAGCCCCGCUCCAUGGGCCACCAGGUACCCAGAGCCUCAUUUAGAAAUGGCCAUGCCUCCCCACAGGCCCCCGCUGGGAUCCUGGUGCUUCAAAUGUCCUGCUGUGGUCCCAGGGAGGAGCAAAACCCCCUCCCAGUCAGGAAGCAUCCUCAACCGCAUCUAAUUCCAGAUGCUACCUCCCACCUUGGCUUUCCAGGAGACGGAGAACGGAGCCGGCCCCUCUCCAAGGCCCCGAGGCCCGGCAGGGCACCCCUCGGAGCAGAUAAGCUCACCCCUGCUCCCAGGACAAGCAAGCUCCUGCUGAGGCUCUGCUACUGCUAAUUGGCCCUUGGGAUAAGCAGACCUGUCCAGGAAAGAACCCUCUCCCUGAUCUCCUGGCCCCAGCCCCAUCCGGCCGGGAGUUCUGACUUAAGCAAAUAAUCAGUCCAGGGAAUUGGAGGCUCAACAGAAUCGUCCUCCAGGAAUCUGGUCUUCGUUCCUCCACCCUCCUCCUCCCGUCUCCGCCCGGGGUCUUGAGAUCAACAGCAAGGUUUUGCACUCGUAGGGGCUUCCCGGAGACACCCUCCAGCCUCAACCCAGAGGAGAUGGGUGCCUGGGCCGUGACCCCUCACACAAGAGGACCAAGCCCAGAGAGGAGACGGGAAGCCAUGCGCCCGGCCAGCUGGGGUCUGCGAUGGACUCAGUGGGGUCCAGCCCUCCUCACUCCAAGGGGAGCUGGGAGCCGACCCGGUGAGGGAGGGCAUCCUGGGAAAGUGACAGGAAUCAGGGAAUGGCCCUGGGGCUCCGGACCUCCUCUGAUGGAGUCAUUCAAGGCCCUUGGCAGAGCUGGGCAUCCUCUGGGCCCCAGGGAAUAAGGUCCCCUCACUCCACCACAGAACAGCAUCUGGGCACCUACCUGUUGGCCAUGGGCAGAGCAAAACUCUCUCCUGGACCCCAGUGCCCAGAGCCCUGGCCUUGGGAGGGAGCUGUGCAUCCUCAGGAGCCCCCCCGGGCUGCCCCCCACCACCCUGCAGGCAGCUCACCCUCCCACCCCACCAGCUGCAGGUGCGGACACGUGUCUUCUCCUUCCCCAAAUGCUCGUUCUGCACCUGCUUCGGGAGGGCAGUCCUGCCUGCUCACAGCCCAGCCCUGCCCGAACUCCUGGCCAUGUGUGGAAACACACGGGCGUUAGAACAUGGCAUCCCGGUUCCCUUCUAUGUUCAGGAAGACGACACCCAUCUGGCUGAGGGGAUGGCAGAGCCCCUCUCCCCACAGCCCCCUCUGCAGUGCAGCUCUCCUUUCCUCUCCCCGCAUGCCUCUUCCCGAGGGCAGCCCCUUCUCUCCAUCAGGAUCGCAUGCCUCUUCUCGAGGGCGGCCCCUUCUCUCCAUCAGGAUCACCCUUCCUGGGCCUCCGGGGUGCAACGGGCGGGCGCUGUUUCCCCCAAGCCCUCCCUUCCUCCCUCGGGGUGGGGCCCUUUCCUCCAGGCUCUUCUCCGUCUCCUGGUCUCUGCCAUCUCCCAAAACCCAUUCUAUUUCUCCACAUGUCUACCUCGUCCCCCAUCCGUCUCCAUUCUCCUAGUCUCCCGCCUGCCAGCCCGGCCCUGGCACCAGCCACUUGGCAGCCUCCUCCUCCUCCUCCCAGAACCUUCUCUUUCCUUCCUGGUCCCAUCUCAAACUGCAGCAAGCUGGUCGAAAGGUGAGACCAGGCUGGGAGGAGCUGUGGGCCACGGAGAUGGUGGCCGGGGGAGGUAUGGGAGGUGGGAGGGCAGGCGGGCCAGGUGGGGAGCAGGGCAUCUUGCCAUGGGAAGGGCUGGAGGAAACACCGCAUCCAGGGAUGGCCAGAGCUCGCCUGGAGCCCCUGAAGGUCUUGCUUUUAGAGCCGGGUGGGGCUGCUGUGUGGCCAAGCCGGGCGAGUGGCCCCAUCCCCGGGUCCUGGGCUCCUGGCGUCUGCCCUGGAGCCCACCAUGUUGCAGUACUGUGUGGCCGUCCAUUGCUGCUCUCUUCACUGUAUGACCGGGGGUUCCCUCUGUGCCCCUCAAAGCCCCAACUUGCCUGGACUUUGGGUCUGCAGCUGGCGCAUGGGAAUCUUCCCACAUGGCAGCGUAGGGUGACUAUGGAGCCGACCAAGGCUGCCAAGGUCUUACUUGAGUAGAAGACGUCCAUCCUGAGCGAUCCUGUUGGCCGGUCCUCCGGAUCCAGCCUUCCUGGGAAUGCGGCCACCCACAGGACUCCAAGCGGGUCUGGGGUCCCUGGUCCCCCAGGUUGACCACCCCUUGCUGCAGCUGCUCCGGAAACAGAGGGUGCUGCCCUGGCCAUUUUGCUCCUUGCUGGGUGUCUGGGAGGGCUGCGAGGGGAGGAAGAAGGGCAGGGAGAGGUGAGAGACCCGAGAGAAGGGGGAAGGAGUCUCAAAGGAGGGGAGGGACGGCCGGCCAGCACUGUGGCGCAGUGUGCAGGAGGGGAACAUGGCGGUGCCCGGCACGAGGUGGGGUGCGGGGCAGCCCUGGAGCCCUGGCUGCCUCUCCCAGCAGUGGGUCCGGCACUAGCUAGCCAGCUGAGCUUGCUGUGUUUGGAGUCUGCAGAAAGUGCUGCCCCGCCAAGCCCCACAGGCCAAGCCAGGCCCGAGGGACAGGAAGGAGCAUGGGGCCUUCACUCACUGCCCAGCCCGGGGCACGGCCGGCCCAUCUCCCAUUUCCAGGGCAUCCGGGGACGGGCACGCCCCGGAUACUUACUGCCCUGUCACUGGAGGUUAGCAUCCUCCCUCGUCCGGUGCCCUGCCCAGGUGGCUGUUACCUCCCCUACCUCCUCCAAGACCCUGAGCAGGGGGAGAAAGAAAGUGGACAGAGGCACCCGACCUCCUGACCUGAGUGUGGUCCCCGCUUUGUUCCCCCUUCCUCUGCCCCCAGUUCUCACUGCGAAGGAGGAGAGGGCUCACCUGGGGUGGCCCCACGUGCCUGCCAGCCUUGGUCCAAGACUGCAGAGAAGGGUCCCUGAGGAGGUGGGGAGGAACCCAGAGGCAGAUCCUGAGGGUCUUCCCUGAAAGAGGAGGGCUGGUGGGCAGCAGGAAGAUCCGGGAUUGUGCCCUCAGCUGCCCUCUCUGUCCUGACGUGUCACCCGCUAAGGGUCAUGGGCCAAGGAGGGAACGGGCAAUGUCUGGGAGCCAUAGAGUUGGGAUGGCCCGGCCAGGCUGGGUGUGGGGUCUGUUGGGGAUCCCAGGUGAGGGGAAGGAAUUGGGAGUGGACCUGGGCCCGAGGCAGGUUGGGUGGCUGGUGCAAGGCAGAGGGCUGGCCCCGGGGGCAUUCUGUCCUGGUUCCUCUGUCCCCUCACCCAGUUCGUGAGCAUCCCUCGUGGAGCAGGCCCCAGGGAGAUCACGGGCGGCGGGUGGGCAGAUGGAGUGCAAUAUCCCCCAAGGAAAGUGUGUUGUGAGGUGGUGGAGGGCAGGGCCGGAGAGGCCCCAGCUGUGGAGCAGGACGCUGGAGGGCUCAGGGCAGCCGAGCCAGGGCCCGGGGCAGCCGCAAAGUGGCACUGUGUUCUUUUGGGCCGGACCAGAGCCCAGGCAGUGUCAGGAGGUGGAUGGUGUGGAAGAGAGAGGAGUUCCAGGGGCGCACUGGGGGGCCCUCUGUGUGGCUGGAAGGUGGAGGGGCGCUGGGUGGAAGGGCUGGCUUCGGGCUGGCGGCUUGGGCUAAGGCAGGCUUGCAGGGGCUGGCUCCUGAACCCACGCAUGGCGAGAAGUAUGGGCUGGAGCGGCCACAGCAUUGGGGAAAGACAGAUGGGAGGGCUGGACAGGAAGCAGGGCUGUGGCCAGGCCGGGGCCCCGGGAGGACAGGGACGAGUGGUGGACGUGAGGGUGCAGAGGAGCAAAGUCCAGGACUUGGCCCGGAUCGGGAUGCUCAGGAGGCUGGGGAUGCUCGGAGGAAAGCAAUGGGGGAGCCCGGCUGCCUGCCCCACCCCUGCCACCCUCAGCUCCUUCUGCCCGCCAGGACUCCCAGGCUCCAUCAGGUGCCGCAGCACCCUGGCUGCGACAUAACGAGGUGGGACAGGGUCAGCAAGGUGACUUCUCGUGCCCCAGUGUUUGCAAAUCCCCAAAAUGACCCAACAGACAAGCUCGAGGCUGGAUUUUCCAAGAGGGCCCCUUCAAGUACCAAAGGACACAAAGAGCAGGCCCUUCUGAGUCUGCGGCCCACAGAUGGCAACACGGGCCCCGGACCCCAGGACCACCUUGGGCACAGAGCGGCUGGGCCCAGGAGGCUGGCCUCUCCCGGGGAUCCCACGGCUGGCCUGCGGGGCUGCAGCAAACACGUGCAGGGCUUUCCAGAGCCCCGCACAGAACAAAGAACAAAAUGGGGAGAGCAGGGCCUGGGCUGAACGGACCACGGGCGGGUGGGCGGAGGGGCACAGCGGCAUGGCACCCACUGCCAGGCCGAGGGCAGCUGCAGGGGGCUGGGCUGGAGCAGACCCGGGGUGGGGGUGGGGGCUGGAGGAGGCUCUCACGGCCGGAAUCAAUAACUCACACUGGGGGAGGGCGGGAGACGCUUGUGGCGGAGCGGGGAGGGGGUGCCGGACAGGGUGUCCCUCCACCCCCAAGUUCAAAGUUUUAUGGCGAGCAGGCUUGACUUCCUCCCGCGUCCCUCCUCUCCAGGUGUUAUUUGAAAAAAAUACUUUUCAAACUACAUGCUGAAAACUUCAGCAUGAAAAUUUAAUGUCAGAAACUCUGUAAUCUCUUUCCCAGAGAUAAGACCCAGCCCCUCGAGGAGGGGCGAACUCGAUCCCUCUAACACAGAAAGCAGACGCCAGGCCGGGAAGGCAGGGGCCUGGCGGCCUCACUGGGGGAGGCUCAGGCUCACGCUCCCUCCCUCCCUCCCACCCGCGGCUGGGAGGGGGUGACUGAGAGAGGCCCUGCAGGGCUGGAGCUGCAGGGCUGGGGCGAGGGGUCCGGCAGGAGGGGCCGUCCUAGUGCAGCCUGCAGGCUUCGGGCCUUCGGGAAGCACAUCCUGCCGCUCUCCCGCGUGCACCCCGCUCCCCGGAACUUGGAGUGGGUGCCGCUGCUGCCAAGGCUCGGGUUUCCAUGACGGCUGAGGCCCCUGGCCCUCUCACUCAGACCCUAACUUAGGCCUCGCUGAGGGCUCAGGUUGUGGACAGCUAAGCUGGGGAAGGACAACGUGGCCACCACCGCCCACGGCCUUUCUGACCGGCAGCGCCGCCCUGGGUUGGGUGGCGGGGGCGUCCUGCACACACGACUCCUGAGGUCAAGCCUGGGUGUGGGGGUCUUGGACUCUGAGCUGCCAGGCCCGCCGGGUCCUGGCCUCAGGGAGAGGGGAACGGAGCUGCCACACACCCGGCUCUUGACUCGAUUUCUCUGUGGGGGACAGACAUAACUUCUCCAAGCUGUUUCCAACAGCCCCCACCCUGAAGACGGCCUCCACCUCAGACAUCAGACAACGCCCCGAGCCCCCCCUGCCCAGGGCCGGGAGGGCAGGCUGCCCGGAAGGAGGGUGGGGCUGCCCGGGGGCUGGGUGUGCGCUCCAGACCUGUGUUCUGGGACUGCAUUCCGGGGGAGGGGGUGGUGGGAAGGCGCCAUGUGGAGCAAACCGGCUGGGCUGGGGGCAGGAGGCCCCCCAAGCGGGGAGAGGGAGGCGUCCGACCGACCGCACUGCUCUGCUGCCCCCACCAGGCAGGCCGAGGCCGGCAUCCCCGGAGACCGGGACCUGGUGGCCCAGCCCAGCACUCCUGAAUGAGCCUGAGGCCCCCGUGUCCUGAGAGGCAGGGGGCUCCCUCCUUUGUAGCGGAAGGAGACAGAGGCCUCCUAAAGGGGCCGGACGCCUGCCCAAGGCGCUAGUCGCCUGGAAGCUCCCAGAAUGUGGGUGUGGGAGAGGCCAAACUGCUUUCUCCCCAAACCCCAAAAUCCUGGGUGACCCUGAACCCGGGCCUGGGCACUUGGCCCUGUCUGCCCAAGCCCCCUACCGGCCCCCCCAUGUGCUUUGCGUGGUCCGAGCCCAGCGGGUGGGGCAGGGCUGGCUUGAGGCUGCCGAGAGGGUUUCUCCCCAACCGUCCUGCCCCCUCCAGGGGACAUGCAGAGCCAGACUGGUCUGUUGUCCUGUGUUUGCCUGCCUCUCCCGGUGUUGCCGUGGUGAUGACACACCAGGCAUGGCUGGGAGGGGUCAUACCUCAGGCAGACCAAGAGUCCUGCGUGUCCACCACAGACGGCACCCCCUCAGGAUGCCCACGCCCUGGCCCCCGGCUCCCAGGCCUUGUCGAGAAUGUUCCAUGAGCCUGACGGACAGGCACGAGGUCCAGCGUGUGAGGCCCAGGCCGCUGCUCCGGCGCCUGCCCUUGCAUCCCCACAGCACCCCGCCCAGCCACCCUAUCUGUCCUCGGGGUCCCCCCAGCCGUCUCAGGUCCAGGCUGCUGGGUGUGAGAAGCGCCCUGGGUUUCUGCUGUGUCCCUGCCCCCUGACGAGGAGCGCUUCUCUUCCUGCACCCACAGCCCCACACAGCCCCUCCACGCCCCAGGGUCCCCCAGCCAACCCAGCGUCCUAUCUGCUGCUUGCAGCUGAGCCUGCGGCGGGGGACCCCAGGCAAAUAUGAGGAAGCCUGGGCAGAAGGUGGCCCCUGCAGAAGCUGCUGCCCACGUGCCCCCGCCCCAUGCUGCCAGGAGAGGCUCGGACCUCAACAACUUGGGAGUGGCAGAAAUGGUCUCUGCAUGACCAGUGCGGCCCCUUCUUAGCCCCUUCCUGGGGCUUCCGGAGGGCCUAGCAGCUUCCCUGGCUGGGGGCUGAGGGGCCUCCGGGCGGCGACUCUUGGAAAAGCCUGAGGUCAGAAGAGUUCAGAAACGGCCGUGCUGGCUGGGUCCUCUUGACUGAUGUGGACAACUGUGUCCCAUCUCCCUGAGCUAUUUCUGUUUUCGCAGGAGUCAGGGGAGGGCUGGAACUCCGGCUUCCCGGCAUCCCGGCGGGCAACCAGAUACCCUCAGAUAAAGGGCAUUCCUGCAGGCCUUCAUCACGCUCCCCGGGCAGCUGCUGGCCCCUCACCCUGCACAAGUGGGCACGUCCUCCCUGAGCCCCGAGGGAGGCUCGGAACACAUAGUUUCCCUGUUAUGUACCAGCUGAGGGGCCCGGUGGAUUUAGCUGGGGUGAGGCCCAGGGGCCCAGGCGAGCAGGGGAUGUUCUCGUAGGGAGGACAGGGCUGAGAUGGGAAGAGCAGCUGGUCCUAAGCCCCACAGGGCCCCCCCACAGGGUCCCCUCAGGGCCCCGAGCCUGGGUUUUAUUUUGGGAGGCACCUUCUAGAGUGUAAGCUGCCUCAUCCCGCGGGCACGCGUGGGGUCGCCCAGGACCUAGGGGAUCCUUCAGCCGGCUGUCCAGCUCCGGGACUCUGGGUUCCCGGGAACCCUUGGGGGCUGAUGUUCUGAGCAUGUUUGCUCCGCAGUGUUCUCAGCCACACCUGCACCCUAGCAGGAUGCCAGAGGGCUUUUCCCAGACUUCAGAGCUGAGGCCCGGGCCUGGCGGGCGCCCCCUCCUCCAGCAGGACGGGAACCAACCAUUCACUCAAGCCACGAGCACCCCACGGGCUGCCCUGAAGAGCUGUUGGGAGGAGAGGGUCCAUGAUCCCAGGCUCUGAAGACCUCUGUGCCCAGCAGCGGGGCCUCUGGAGGGUGAGGAGGGAUGCGUAUCAGGAGCAGUCCAUUGCCGGCUGGUGGGGUUUGUUUUGUUAAACCGAAAGAAAAACAGCAGCAGCAGCACAGAGCCCCGGGGCAGCUGACCUCCUGAAGCCAGGCAGGGUGCCUGGGCAGGGCCCCAAAACCACAGAGGAGCCCCAGCCAGCCCUCUGGGGAGCAGGGUCAGGCACCCCGACAGAGGGUGACCAGGACACACGACCCGGCGGCCCUGCAGCCCCCCAGCACCUCCUCACUGGGGACCAGCCUGUCGGCAGGAGGCAGCCCUGGGGGUCGGGGACACAGUCCCAAGGAAGGCUAGGACCUGGAACGCUCCUUAAGGGGUGAGACACCCCUGGGGGGCAGAGCUAGGCCCUGACCAGGGUGGGGACUGCGGAGGAGCUGAGCUGGCUCCAAUCGGUGCAUGGCUGGCUGUCUAGGGGCAGCACAGAGGGAGGUCCCAUCCCAGGCCAGCAGUGGCAAUGCCAUCUCUGAAAAACGGUCCGUGCCAUGAGGCCUGAGCCUCCGGUGCCCUUGCCUGGCAUGCUCUGCCACACCGUGGCCGCGUGAGGGACAGACAGCGCGGGACAGAAUCCCACCUGGCAGGGAGGUGGCAGGCUUGCCAUGUGCCAGCAGGCACCGGGGGAGGAGGGGCUGGGUAUCGGGGGCGGGGACCCUCAGGGCGAAGCUCGAUGUUAGGCGGGCUUCUUCUGGAGGGCCGUGUCUCCUGGGCAAGCAUUAUCAUCUCCACGUUUUAUUUUAUUAUAUUAUUAUUUAUGUAUUUAUUGAAACAGAGUCUUGCUCUGUCACCCAGGGUGGAGUGCAGUGGUGCAACCUCCACCUUCCAGGUUCAAGUGAUUCUCCUACCUCAGCCUCCCGAGUAGCUGGGAUUACAGGCGCCCACCACCACACCUGGCUAAUUUUUGUAUUUUUAGUAGAGACAGGGUUUCUCCAUGUUGGCCAGGCUGGUCUCGAACUCUUGGACUCAAGUGAUCCACCCACCUCAGCCUCCCAAAGUGCUGGGAUUACAGGCAUGAGCCACUGCAUCUGGCCUCGUCUCCACAUUUUAGACAAAUCAAGACAAAGUGACAGCCAGGGGCCUCAGGCUUGCAAGGCAGCAGCUCAAAGUGGAAACCCGGACUCCUGGCCCCUCACCCAGGCCGCACACCCACAGCCAGGCCUCCCUCCCAGAAGCCGCCACCAGGCCUGCUCCGGGGCCCCAGCUUCCUGUGCUCCCGGUCCAGGCGGUGGCCAUUGUCUGCCAGCCAUUAGGAACCAGCUGGGGGAAGUGCCAUGCCCCAGCCCCUGGGCAGCCCAUGUGUCCCUCCUACACCCGCGGGCAGGGCCCUCGAGUCCCAGGUCCCAGUGGCCAGCCAUCGGUCCUCUCACUAACCGCAGGAUGGCCACUGAAGGCCAGAAGGGUGGGGGCCUUGGGGGCUACCCGAAAAUCUCUCCCACCAUGGCCCAGGCCCAUGGGCGUUCUGUGGCUCCAGCCUGUGGCUCGGGGUGGGCGGUUGGGGGGCUGGGUUUUCUGACCCCGGUGGUGGUGAAUGAACAGCAGAGCCCCAUCUACGCCCCCGGCCUGCCGGCUCGCUGGCCUUCCUAAUGAGCGUGUGUUUCCAGAGCCCUUUGAUCUGGGGCUUUAAUGACCAUCCCCUACCGAGGAGCCACCAAUCAAUGGGUCCGCCCCCUCCCCAGUGUGUGCACAACCAAAGCCGGGCUUAUCCAGGCCCCCUGACCGGCAGCCCUGAGGCUGAGGGCUCCCACUCCCGCCCGGGGUCACCAGGAUGUUCUCAGGUGGCAUUCCAGGUGGGACGAGCCCAGCUCCUCCUCAAUGCCUCGAUGCCCACGGCCAGGCCCAGCUGCCCUGGGGUCAUCUGGGCACCUCCUGGCCCAUGAUGGGGGAGGGAGUGGCCGAGCUGUGCUGGCUCCCACCUUCGGGCACCGGGGGGUCUGCUCGGAACAUGGAAAGAAGACAAGACAUGGCCUCAGCUCUGACUCAGGGCAUGGGAGCAGCCUGCGCUUCACACGGUCGGUCCCCCACUCUGCUUGGGGGGCCCUCCUCCCGAGCUCCAUCCUGGGUGGGCCAGGGCCCUCUCCCCGUGGGGUCUCCAAGCCCCAACACUCGGCCCGCAGUGUUCGGCGGGUGUGCCAUCCAUACUGUCCUGCUGGCAGAAGCCGUGCCCUCCGCUGGCCCUGAGGAGACCGCUGCUGCUGUUCCCGCCACUGGGGACACCCUGACUACCAAGCGUAGUUAACAAAGUGGGGGGCGCAACAGGCUGUGUCUCCAAUGUGGCGAUGGGGGGACCCACGCUGUCCCUGCCGACGGGGAGGCGAGGGCCGCAGGGCAAGGCGGGAGCCCCAGCGGGGACUGCAGGGGUCCAGCUCUUUGGGGCCACCCUUCCCCCAGGGCACCCCUCACUCGCGCCCACGCACGCGCAGACGGGAAAUGAGACCUGCGAGGCCGGGCUCGGCCCUCCCCCUCUCUGGCAGCAGGCAUGGGGUUUUAUGAGUGCUACAAAUCAGAUAUCACACAGUUUGGGGCUGACAUGGUUUUUGCAAGAAUUAUUUAAGGCCCUGGCCGCCGGUAAAGUCCCAGGGAGAACGGGGCAGGGCGCACCCAGCUGCUGGGGCCGUCGGAAUUCCAAACACUUCGUAAAGCUAAGGUAUGAGCCGCGAGCACCUUGUUCUGUUUAACAGGCUGCUUCACCCCUGCCCUGGGCCGCGCGAGGGCUGCCGGGAACACCUCCCCCAGGCCAGGAGGAGGGGGCCGCCUGCAGCUGGGAAAGCUGGGGCCUGCCUGGGCGGCCCUGGCUCCAGGCUGAGAAGCUGAGAGGGAGUGAGUUGAAGGGUUGGCCCCGCUAGCAUCUCCUCCCAACCCCGAAGCACUGCCCAGGGUCCUGCUGUCAACCCCACACACGGGGCCUGAGCCGCUCCUGGUGGUCUCCUGUGCUCCAUCCUGGGCCCGGCUCGCUCCUCCUGGGGUCUGUGGCAAACUCUCGCAGGCCGGGACCAUGCCCAGUGCCCACGCGCCGGGAGCACGGCGGUGUCCUCGCCUGGAAUGGGCCUCACUCGGCAUCUGUGACUGGUCAGUUCUGCCGGCCGAGCCUGCUGCUAACUGGGCCGUGUCACGGGCUCAGGCUGUCCUCUGGCUACUUCCCUGCUACUUCCCUUCAGUGGGCCCAGGCCAAGGCGGGGAGCGCAGAUGUGCCCAAUGUCACCACUGCCGGAGGAGGGACGGCCAUGUGGGUGGCCCGGGGCACCCCAGGUACACCCCAGGAAGCUGCUCAUGGGUACCCAUUGGUGAGGAGGGUGCAGGGGGAGGCACACGCCAAUUCAUCAACCUCAGGGAUGCGUUCAGGUUUCUAUCCUGGGAUAUUUGAGCACUUCCAUAAUUAUCCAAAUACCAGUGGCGUCUCGUACUGACAGACAAUGGCACCCUUCCUUCUGCGAUCAGUGCUAAAACCCACGACACUGUCAUCACGCAGAGUGCUGAGCAACCGCGCUGAGAAUACGGGACGCACGGACACGAAGCCCUCCCAGUGAACCUGUGGGAAGGAGGCGAGCAGCAUCGCGUGACCGGGACUGGCCCGGCUAAGGGGGCUCUGCAGAGCAGGGCCAUGGGCUCCCCAAUCUGGAGGGGAGGCUGCUCACUCAUUACCUGGCCUCUCCACCCACUGAGUGCCCUGAACCAGGCCUCUGCCUCAGGGGUGCCCUCAGGGGAACUCAGAGGACUGUGCAAAGGUGGGCUUCGAGUCCCUGACGCUGCGUGGAGGGCCUCUGCCGUGCGGAUGCCAGGCAGGAAGGAGUGGAGAAGCAGGAAGGGGCGUUACUGUCGGACCCAACGGGCCCAUCCCUUUCCAGCCCCCAACUUCCCUGGGGUGACGGGGCCUGGACCUGUGGACCCCUGUCUCUGCGGGAAAUGUUUGCUGCAGGUCCCACGGCUGCACCCUCCUGGGACAGGCUGCGGACCCUGCACAUCUGAGCUUCUAUGAAUUCCAUGUAGAAUUCCAUGGGAUUUCUGGAAUCUUCUGUCUCAUGUCUCUCAGUGAGGGAGGAUGGCAAAGAACGUCAGAGGGAAGGAUGGGGUAGCGGCUCUGUCCUGGGCCUGAGGGACGUCUCUGAAGGCCAGCGCCCCCAGCCUCCCACCAUGGGCGCCCCAGAGCAGGGGUCACUCUAGCCAUGGGGUGAGCCCCCUAGGGUCUCAGCUUUGCAGAGCUGGGCCCAGGCCAAGGCAAGGAGUGCAGAUGUGAGGGGGAGAACGGUGGGGGGUCUCCCACCCUCUCGCAGAGCUGGCUUUGUGCAGGGAGAAUGCAGGCCUGGCCGGCCCUCCCCAUUGGACACAGCGUCAGGGCCCCAGCGUCCACGGAGGCCAGGGCCAAUCAAAGCCAGAUGUCGGAGAAACAAGAAAAGCUGACUAUUUUGACUAGAAAAAGCCCUAUUUACAAAGAAAUAAUGAAG